This is a long non-coding RNA of Vidua macroura (Pin-tailed whydah), 350 nucleotides long. RefSeq lists it as uncharacterized. NCBI's taxonomy places the organism in Eukaryota, Metazoa, Chordata, Aves, Passeriformes, Viduidae. The transcript is spliced from 3 exons. The record is from RefSeq and is a predicted model, not a curated record.
CCGAGUUUGGCUCUGGGGCGGGGGGAAUUUGGGAUUUUCCUGGCAUUUCUGCUGGCGGGGACGGCUCCGGGACACACCGGCUGAGGCUGUGGGAGCUUUCCGCGCUCCCGGAGCUUUUCCAUGCUCCCGGAUAUUCCUGGACAUGAAAUCCCGCCUGGAUCUGGCCGUGCUGGGAUUGUCCAAGGUGUGUGAUCCGUCUGGAACCGGGACAAGCUGACUGGGCUGGGAAUGUAAAAACAGGAAAACGGCUGAGCUCAUCCCAGCUCAUCCCAGUCCUCUCCCUGUCCCCUGCGGGGUGAGUCUGGCCAGGGCUGGGGCAGGAUGUGCUAGCCCGGGAAUGCUGUCGGGAU